Non-coding RNA from Fomitopsis serialis, 93 nucleotides. NCBI's taxonomy places the organism in Eukaryota, Fungi, Basidiomycota, Agaricomycetes, Polyporales, Fomitopsidaceae. The record is from the annotation of a RefSeq genome assembly.
GGUCGACUAGCUCAGUUGGUUAGAGCGUGGUGCUAAUACCGUGAGAGUUGCUUACGUACGCCAAGGUCGUCGGUUCGACCCCGGCGUGGGCCA